RNAcentral lists this long non-coding RNA (490 nucleotides) under Monodelphis domestica (gray short-tailed opossum). RNAcentral describes it as "lncRNA (ENSMODG00000050638.1)". The record is from RNAcentral. Lineage: Eukaryota; Metazoa; Chordata; Mammalia; Didelphimorphia; Didelphidae.
GCAGCUUUGAAAAGGGCUUAGCAAGCUCUCUCACUGGAGAUGCUAGUCCUUCCUGAACAUCCCAUGUACCCUAAUUAUCCAAGAAGAUAAAUGACAAACAAAAGAAUUUCAAUUUUUAUUUAAAGGCAAUGGGAAUCAUUGGAGUUUCUGUAGCAGAAGAAUUAGAAAGUAAAACCUGUGAUUUAGAAAUAUCAGCAUGGCAACUAUGUAAAUGAUGGAAUGAGGGGAUGAAAGACUGCAGACAUGGAAAGCAAUUAAGAGUAUGUUUCUUUGAAGCAAGAGGUGAUGAGGACCUGAACGGGUAUAAUUAUUUUAUGAAGGAAGAGUCUAGGCACCAUACCAUAGUGGACAGAGAGACAGCUUCACAGUUAAGAAGACCUCGAUUGAUGAUUGCUGGUCCGCUGAAUCACCGCCUGCCACACACACUCUUGCUUGAUGGAAGAGUGAACCUGGGAGAAGCCUUAGUAAAACAGAAGAUAGAAGAAUGGAA